This 274-nucleotide unclassified non-coding RNA is filed under the name Hevea brasiliensis (rubber tree). Lineage: Eukaryota; Viridiplantae; Streptophyta; Magnoliopsida; Malpighiales; Euphorbiaceae. The record is from RNAcentral.
AGAAUAUUCUCGAGCAUCCUUUCUUUUCUUCCGGUUCAGAAUAAUUCUUCAGCAUCUUCUUUCUUUUCAAGUUUUGAUUUUUGCUGAACGACUAUUUGGGUUCUGUGUAAUUUGGAGCGAGAAAGAUCGGAGGAGAAACCCUCGUGUACUCGCUAUGUCUUCUUCCGGAAUCUCUACCCAAAGCGCCGAAUUGUCAGAUGCCGUUCAAGAACUAGUAAUUUGCGAGCAGUUGGAAAUGGGAAAGAAGGUAGAGAUUCAAGGAACGGGGAAUGGG